GAGUUUGAUCAUGGCUCAGAUUGAACGCUGGCGGCAUGCCUUACACAUGCAAGUCGAACGGCAGCACGGGAGCUUGCUCCUGGGUGGCGAGUGGCGAACGGGUGAGUAAUGCAUCGGAACGUAUCCUGGAGUGGGGGAUAACGUAGCGAAAGUUACGCUAAUACCGCAUAUUCUGUGAGCAGGAAAGCGGGGGACCUUCGGGCCUCGCGCUCUUGGAGCGGCCGAUGUCGGAUUAGCUAGUUGGUGAGGUAAAGGCUCACCAAGGCGACGAUCCGUAGCAGGUCUGAGAGGAUGAUCUGCCACACUGGAACUGAGACACGGUCCAGACUCCUACGGGAGGCAGCAGUGGGGAAUUUUGGACAAUGGGGGCAACCCUGAUCCAGCCAUGCCGCGUGAGUGAAGAAGGCCUCGG
Molecule: ribosomal RNA, 412 nt
Filed under: bacterium enrichment culture clone ALO1_GLFRUDD03FJX5I
Lineage: Bacteria
Also listed under: 3 other names
Description: bacterial SSU rRNA
Rfam family: Bacterial small subunit ribosomal RNA
Source: RNAcentral